Molecule: ribosomal RNA, 453 nt
Filed under: uncultured soil bacterium
Lineage: Bacteria
Description: bacterial SSU rRNA
Rfam family: Bacterial small subunit ribosomal RNA
Source: RNAcentral
AGAACGAACGCUGGCGGCAUGCCUAAUACAUGCAAGUCGAACGAACACUUCGGUGUUAGUGGCGCACGGGUGCGUAACGCGUGGGAAUCUGCCCUUGGGUUCGGAAUAACUUCGGGAAACUGAAGCUAAUACCGGAUGAUGACGUAAGUCCAAAGAUUUAUCGCCCAAGGAUGAGCCCGCGUAGGAUUAGCUAGUUGGUGGGGUAAAGGCCUACCAAGGCGACGAUCCUUAGCUGGUCUGAGAGGAUGAUCAGCCACACUGGGACUGAGACACGGCCCAGACUCCUACGGGAGGCAGCAGUAGGGAAUAUUGGACAAUGGGCGAAAGCCUGAUCCAGCAAUGCCGCGUGAGUGAUGAAGGCCUUAGGGUUGUAAAGCUUCUUUACCCGAGAUGAUAAUGACAGUAGUCGGGAGAAUAAGCUCCGGACUAACUCCGUCGCCAGCGACGCCGGAC